GCUGGGCAUGGUGGCCCAUGCCUGUGGUCCCAGCUACUCAGGAGGCUGAGUCAGGAGGAUCAUUUGAACCCAUGAAUUCAAGACCAGCCUAGGCAAUGCAGCAGGACCUUGUCUCAA
RNAcentral lists this small RNA (117 nucleotides) under Marmota monax (woodchuck). Lineage: Eukaryota; Metazoa; Chordata; Mammalia; Rodentia; Sciuridae. The record is from RNAcentral.